This 523-nucleotide ribosomal RNA is filed under the name Starmerella apicola. Its description in RNAcentral is "eukaryotic LSU rRNA". It matches the Rfam family "Eukaryotic large subunit ribosomal RNA", at positions 38 to 667 of the family's 3401-position model. The record is from RNAcentral. Lineage: Eukaryota; Fungi; Ascomycota; Dipodascomycetes; Dipodascales; Trichomonascaceae.
GCAUAUCAAUAAGCGGAGGAAAAGAAACCAACAGGGAUUGCCUUAGUAGCGGCGAGCGAACAGGCAAGAGCUCAGAUUUGAAAGCCCUCGGGCAUUGUAUUCUGAAGCCUUGGUCCUGAGAAUCGGUGUUUAAGUCUUCUGGAAAGGAGCGCCAUGGAGGGUGAUAGCCCCGUACGACACCACUCUCACUGUAGGACUUUGGCAUGGAGUCGAGUUGUUUGGGAAUGCAGCUCAAAUGGGUGGUAUGCUCCAUCUAAAGCUAAAUAUCUGCGAGAGACCGAUAGCGAACAAGUACUGUGAAGGAAAGAUGAAAAGAACUUUGAAAAGAGAGUGAAAAAGUACGUGAAAUUGUUGAAAUGGAAGGAUAGGCCGCUAACCAUGUAGGGUCGUGUUUGAGGGGAAGAUAAAAGCUGAAGAAUGUAGCUCCUCGGAGUGUUAUAGCUUCAGUCCAUAUUCCCUCUCGAGCGCGAGGAUCGAAGACUCUGCUAAAUGGUGGUCUAUCACCCGUCUUGAAACACGGACC